GGGACACGUGGUAUCCUGUCUGAAUAUGGGGGGACCAUCCUCCAAGGCUAAAUACUCCUGACUGACCGAUAGUGAACCAGUACCGUGAGGGAAAGGCGAAAAGAACCCCGGCGAGGGGAGUGAAAAAGAACCUGAAACCGUGUACGUACAAGCAGUGGGAGCACCUUCGGGUGUGACUGCGUACCUUUUGUAUAAUGGGUCAGCGACUUAUAUUCUGUAGCAAGGUUAACCGUAUAGGGGAGCCGCAGGGAAACCGAGUCUUAACUGGGCGUUAAGUUGCAGGGUAUAGACCCGAAACCCGGUGAUCUAGCCAUGGGCAGGUUGAAGGUUGGGUAACACUAACUGGAGGACCGAACCGACUAAUGUUGAAAAAUUAGCGGAUGACUUGUGGCUGGGGGUGAAAGGCCAAUCAAACCGGGAGAUAGCUGGUUCUCCCCGAAAGCUAUUUAGGUAGCGCCUCGUGAAUUCAUCUUCGGGGGUAGAGCACUGUUUCGGCUAGGGGGUCAUCCCGACUUACCAACCCGAUGCAAAC
RNAcentral lists this ribosomal RNA (532 nucleotides) under Klebsiella pneumoniae. Its description in RNAcentral is "partial 23S ribosomal RNA". It matches the Rfam family "Bacterial large subunit ribosomal RNA", at positions 419 to 954 of the family's 2925-position model. Lineage: Bacteria; Pseudomonadati; Pseudomonadota; Gammaproteobacteria; Enterobacterales; Enterobacteriaceae. The record is from RNAcentral.